UCGUCUUCCCGCCGCUCGGUUUCUCCUCACUCAAAUCUCAAGCCCUUAAAGACGGUCAGCUCUGUGACGUCAGGCCUAUUUGCAUAACAUUCCCCAGCAUCCCAAGCGAACGUUCUACGGUUUCCAAAAAUCUGAUUAUUCCACGCGAGAUGUUCAACAACGAGAAGCGUCCCACGCAGGAGGGGGGCUCUAGAUAUAACCGCUCGAGUGGGAACGCGUCCUGUGCGCGAGCGCGCUGGCAGCCACUCACCCUCAAUGCAAAGCCACUCCCCUAAACCACUUCCUGAUCAGGCAUGAAGAUGUGAUGGCUGAAUAAGACAAAUUAACAUCACUUCUCUGGAACCCAGGGCAGGUUUCCUAGGGCCAUGCUGCAUUCAGGGCUUCGCAGCCCCAGGAAGCAAAGAAAAGUCUCCCAACAAGCCAAUGUGUCAGAACUGAGCAAAAGUGAUGGAAAGAGACAGCUAGUGAGAACUACUCAAAGGUAUAUCCUGGAGACCCCAAGUUGAUUACAGAAACUCCAAGAGGAACCAGUGUGUGCUGCCUAGAAGCUGAAAUUUCAAGCAGCUAUAAAUAUCCUUGAUAGUGUGGUCUGAAAAUGCACUCCCAUCAUUUUUCAGCCUCAGCUGGUUGCUGAGAUGGCCAAUCUGGGUCUUUAAAUCCAGCCCAGAGGAAAUAGAAGAUGGAUACUCCCUCCAAUGGCAAAUUCUGUAUCGAUCAGGAAGUCAGAUGAUGCCUUGAUAAUCCAAAUAUCAGAAUUUUUUCCUAUUUACCCCUCAUAAGGUUGGAGAAGAACUCUUACACUUGUGGGUAUAUGGGAUUAAGAUGAAGUGACUGAGAUACACAUCUUGGGAGCAAAAUUAGAGGGGUGCCUCAAACUGAGUAAUCAAGGCAUCACCCUGGACUUGAUCUCAGCAUCUCCUUCCUGGAAGACCUGACCCGACACAGAAAGACUUGGGGGCUGGAUUUUUGAGUGACAAAAGGACUUUGAGAACCUGAAGCUGUGCUGGUAGAGCAUUUUUAUAUAAGAUCCAUAACUUACCACCACCCAUCCCAAAGUGUAGGGAAGCACUGAUGACAGGAUAAUAACAACUAACUUUAUGAUAAUUAAUUUAGACAAUAGCUAUAUAGUAUCUGUCUUUUCAGGGGUUCAAUACAUGGUAGCUAAGUUUCCGAGUGUGUGGAAACAGAGCCCCUCGGGGAAACUGUGUUUCACACUGGGUGUAACUUUCCUGUAGAUUUCCCUUUAAUGUCUAACGUCUCAUGCAGUUUUGGAAAAGUCUCUAGGGAGGGUGGAUGUGUGGGAAAUUAAGAGAGACAUAACCACAAAAGUAUUGGAUUUGGGACCCGAAGGCUGAGUUGCAAGCUAAACUGCCACCGGUCCAGAGGGAGACACCAGGAAAGGUCCUCCAAAGGCUCCCGGCCCUGCCCGGUACCGAUUUACAGUCCUCCUGGGAGGUG
This is a long non-coding RNA of Microcebus murinus (gray mouse lemur), 1458 nucleotides long. RefSeq lists it as uncharacterized. NCBI's taxonomy places the organism in Eukaryota, Metazoa, Chordata, Mammalia, Primates, Cheirogaleidae. The record is from RefSeq and is a predicted model, not a curated record.